RNAcentral lists this small RNA (212 nucleotides) under Trinickia caryophylli. RNAcentral describes it as "Burkholderia caryophylli Burkholderia sRNA Bp1_Cand738_SIPHT". It matches the Rfam family "Burkholderia sRNA Bp1_Cand738_SIPHT". Lineage: Bacteria; Pseudomonadati; Pseudomonadota; Betaproteobacteria; Burkholderiales; Burkholderiaceae. The record is from Rfam by way of RNAcentral.
AAAAACGCCGGCAACUGGACGUGCCGACAAGGGCAAACAACAAAUCAGGCCGUAACGACCGCGCUGGACGGUGAACGGCCGCGACGCGGUGCGUCAGGAACCGGGGGGCGUUGAACUCAAAACACAUGGCACUGCAGCCAUUGCGGACGGAUUCUAGCAGGGUUUUAUAGAUCGUCAAUGCUAUAAAACUCACAAAACAUAACAAAAUGUAA